GAUGAACGCUGGCGGCGCGCCUAAUACAUGCAAGUCGAGCGAACAGACGAGGAGCUUGCUCCUCUGACGUUAGCGGUGGACGGGUGAGUAACACGUGGAUAACCUACCUAUAAGACUGGGAUAACUUCGGGAAACCGGAGCUAAUACCGGAUAACAUGUUGAACCGCAUGGUUCAACAGUGAAAGACGGUCUUGCUGUCACUUAUAGAUGGAUCCGCGCCGCAUUAGCUAGUUGGUAAGGUAACAGCUUACCAAGGCAACGAUGCGUAGCCGACCUGAGAGGGUGAUCGGCCACACUGGAACUGAGACACGGUCCAGACUCCUACGGGAGGCAGCAGUAGGGAAUCUUCCGCAAUGGGCGAAAGCCUGACGGAGCAACGCCGCGUGAGUGAAGAAGGUCUUCGGAUCGUAAAACUCUGUUAUUAGGGAAGAACAAAUGUGUAAGUAACUAUGCACGUCUUGACGGUACCUAAUCAGAAAGCCACGGCUAACUACGUGCCAGCAGCCGCCGUAA
Molecule: ribosomal RNA, 513 nt
Filed under: uncultured bacterium
Lineage: Bacteria
Description: partial 16S ribosomal RNA
Rfam family: Bacterial small subunit ribosomal RNA
Source: RNAcentral